GAAGGUUCAAACAAAGGCAAGGGAAAAACGGUCAUUUCUACUAUGCAAACAUAUUAUGAAGAUGAUACUAUCGAAACGGGCUCGACGAGACGAAGACGUGGGCGCUGGUUUUACCUCGAUCGGAGCUACGAGCGCAAAGUUAUGGCCUUCGUUGUUUUGGCAGAAAACAAAUAAAAAUUUAUUCAUUUUCGGUCUAAACCGGUGAAUGUCCACAACUUAGGCACUUCGGCCAGCUGGGUUUAAAAGAGAAGGCACCUUUCGGGGAAAUAUGCUUUUGGUAAACCGAAAGCGUAUUCUGCCGUUUAUGUCUUCACCUAAAAUGCGCGGGCCCGGGGGUUGACUUCCUUUGUCUAACAGACGGGCGGGUCCCAUCUUAUCCAUUCCCCUUCUCUCUCUUAUUGGCGGGGCCUACCCCUUUCUCUCUCCUCCUCCCUGCAUCUUCUUCUUCUACCUCGUAAUAUGGACGCCAGAGGUGCCAUGGCCAUCGGCCGAGCUCACCGCCGGCGCUGUAGGCCACCUAGCGCGGGGCUCCGACUACCGGCCUGCUCAGGGCGACAGGGCGGACCCAUCCCGAGGCGAGGCGGGUGCAAGAGGGCUAGGAGGUGGCCUGGGC
This 613-nucleotide long non-coding RNA is filed under the name Hordeum vulgare. RNAcentral's name for it is "long non-coding RNA (HVUL_LNC003571)". The record is from RNAcentral. Lineage: Eukaryota; Viridiplantae; Streptophyta; Magnoliopsida; Poales; Poaceae.